GACGAACGCUGGCGGCGUGCUUAACACAUGCAAGUCGAACGGUGAUGCUCCAGCUUGCUGGAGUGGAUCAGUGGCGAACGGGUGAGUAACACGUGAGCAACCUGCCCCAGACUCUGGAAUAAGCGCUGGAAACGGCGUCUAAUACUGGAUACGAAACUGGCCCGCAUGGGCAUGGUUUGGAAAGUUUUUCGGUUUGGGAUGGGCUCGCGGCCUAUCAGCUUGUUGGUGAGGUAAUGGCUCACCAAGGCGACGACGGGUAGCCGGCCUGAGAGGGCGACCGGCCACACUGGGACUGAGGCACGGCCCAGACUCCUACGGGAGGCAGCAGGGGGGAAUAUUGCACAAUGGGCGAAAGCCUGAUGCAGCGACGCCGCGUGAGGGAUGACGGCCUUCGGGUUGUAAACCUCUUUCAGCAGGGAAGAAGCGAAAGUGACGGUACCUGCAGAAGAAGCACCGGCUAACUACGUG
This 468-nucleotide ribosomal RNA is filed under the name uncultured bacterium. RNAcentral's name for it is "partial 16S ribosomal RNA". It matches the Rfam family "Bacterial small subunit ribosomal RNA", at positions 28 to 507 of the family's 1533-position model. The record is from RNAcentral.